Brachypodium distachyon (stiff brome) is the source of this 125-nucleotide non-coding RNA. The record is from Rfam. NCBI's taxonomy places the organism in Eukaryota, Viridiplantae, Streptophyta, Magnoliopsida, Poales, Poaceae.
GAAGUACUCCCUCCGUUCCAUAAUUCUUGUCGAAGUAUUACAUGUAUCUAGACAUUUUUUAAGAAUAGAUACAUUCAUUUUGGGAUAAAUUUAAGACAAGAAUUACGAAACGGAGGUAGUACUCA